CUGGUUAUGGUCGGGCGGGCAGCGCGGCGUGGCUGCUGCGUGAAGAGGUACUUCGUCGCUUUUCGGUAGAUGCCUCCAAAUGAUUUUGCUUCAGGAUCCAGCCCUUUCAAUUUGAUUCUAUUUUACGGGAGCUAUGAUUGAUUCUCGCUACAACUUCACCAUCGAUUGCUUUAUUAUGCUUGACUACCUGUGUAGAUCGAGAUCCCACAGGCUGGCAUCCAUAGCUGGAUAUGCUUCAGUAGCCCACUUCAUUGCCUCGAUGUUGCCUACCAAUGGUCGUAGCCUUAUAAGUGUUGCCUCAGAUCUUGGACUAUCUCUUCAGGAGCAAACACAUAUAACAAUAAAUCAGACGCAUGCAGGCAACACUUCACUGCACACGAUAUACUUGAUCCGGCAGCUAGUUUAUCCAUAUCGUUGAUUGAUGCGGAACAAACAUACUACUAGUCAAUUUCACAAUUCAGUUGUUGUUCUGGCCCACUAAUAAUAAUAAUAAAAGCAAUGAAAUCCUUAUCCUUCACUUGCUCCUAGUAAUUCCCAAAAGAAACCAAGCAAAGGAUUGGGAGUAAAAACUAAUUCCUUGCCCAAUACACUACUAAUUCCCUCCUUUAAAGUCAUAUCCCUCUUCCCAUUAUUGCCAAAUAGGCUAUAGAUGAGUUGCUCGGGUGGCCUGAGGCAAAACAAGAACCAUUUGUACUCCAAUUGGUUAGGAACGCGGUUUUAUUAUUCUUCAGUUUAUUAGUGCGAAGUUGGUUGCAUCAUCUGCUUAAGGAGAUAGUCAUGUGCGCCACGAAAUUAACUUCACCUAAAGACGGUAUGAGCAGGCAUACCUCCUAGUCUAGCUAGCUGGGCUAUGCAGCUAUCUGAUUGUAAUUCAGAAGUAGUGUCCUUGGUAGUUCCAAUAAAUCAGGGAUUCAGUACGAAGCUAAUUUGGAGCCAGGCGAGUUGGGAUUCAUAUCCCUUUUCGGAGGUGAGGUAGCCCUGCCAUCACUCAUAUGUCAUUGCAUAUUUAUAGAAAUCGAUCUAGCACGUCUGCUCCCUCCAUAAUUUAUUUGAAUCUGUAGCAGACUGGUUUGCUCACAACCUACUUGAUAGAAUACCUACAAGAGCCAAUUAUCCAUCUCCACAAAUAUCCCGGGGUCUUCCCAUCAAUUGCAUCUUAAUUUGACUCCCAUUUUUGCAGAUUAGUUUGUUUGCAUAUUUAUUUUUGUACUGGUAUUGAUCAAGCACGCUUUUUAUUCCGCGAAUCAGUAACAUGGUGCACACAUAUUUGUUUCUUGCGAUUGGUUACAGAAGCCUAGUUAACUAUAUUCACCUUUUAGCAGUAAUACAACUAUUUGGUUAUUUCCUACUUCCUUGCAGUGAUUAUCACUCCGACAGGUGGAUGCACACGUAUAAUGGGUGUGUCAUGGCUGUAUUUUUCCCGUGACUAUCGGAAAGUAAUCUCCUUUAUAUGACUAUAUUUUGGGGGGAAUUUGUACUUAGAUGGCUAAGCAACAAAGGCAGGAGAUUCCAGCGAUAGAUUUGAGGUCGGCGCCUCACGAAGGCAUGCUCCUUGCCGGGAGAGGCAGGGGCAUCCUUUCUUGGUCUGCAUCUUUCACCUCUGUUGCUUCAGGUGAGCCCUGAUUUCUCAUCCUAUCAUUUCUUUUUUAACCUCCUAUAACUCCAGCAAUGUACUUAUUUGUUUGAUCUAUUUGUAUUUACAAAAUAUGAUUAUGAUUCCACUAUUUGAUUAAUUCCUAGAAUUACUGAACUAUAUAUUCAUUUCUAUUUUGUGCUCAUGCCGCGCUUGUUGAAUUGCUUACUUGGAGGUUUAUUCGAUUUAUAGAUAGCGGCACAAGUGGAGCAGGAGGCUGCAAUGGAUUUUAUACUAUGGUACGUGUGCACUUCAAUCAGCGCAAACUACUCUUU
Molecule: long non-coding RNA, 1908 nt
Filed under: Triticum aestivum (bread wheat)
Lineage: Eukaryota; Viridiplantae; Streptophyta; Magnoliopsida; Poales; Poaceae
Description: long non-coding RNA (TAES_LNC020810)
Source: RNAcentral